This 1621-nucleotide long non-coding RNA is filed under the name Pan troglodytes (chimpanzee). RNAcentral's name for it is "long non-coding RNA NONPTRT015971". Lineage: Eukaryota; Metazoa; Chordata; Mammalia; Primates; Hominidae. The record is from RNAcentral.
CAAAUUUCAAAGGUCUGUAAGCAUCAGAAUAAAAAUACAAUUGUUUAAAUUCCUGGUAUAUUUUGUCUCCUUUCCUAGGAGCGAAUCUCUUGAAAGUUCUCUCCUUCGUCACAGGGUCUUCCUCAAGCUUGUAGUCGUUCAUUCGCUCACAGACUUUCUGCAAAAGGUCCGUUAGGAACGCCUCCGACUGGGCUAGGGGGAUCUAAGAAGAAAGACAGGGCAAGGAAACUUGUCUUAAUGUUAAUGUUACUUCAAAGACCUUCCGGCGAGUCCACAUGGAAACGCCACACUCUCCCUGAAUGCAAACGUGUGCCACUUCCCUAGCACGGGCACAGAAGACGGCACCGCAGAUCGUUAUUACAAUGUAACAACGACCUGCUUUACAUCAUUACGGGGCUAGCGUAAAUUCCAGUUUUUUAAAAGUGUAUAUAUUUCAAAGUGGCCAGAAAAAAAAUACAUUCAAACUAGAAACUAUACCUCUACAUAGAAUCAUGUUUAGAAAUCACUGAGCAUGUAGCAAAAAGCAUGACGCAUAGAAAAUGGCAGUUAUUAUCCAUCUACUUGUCAGAGAGAGAGAGGAGAGAGAGAGGAGGGGGAGAGAGACAGAGAGAGGGAGAGAGAGAAGGAGGGAGAGACAGAGAGAGGGAGGGAGAGAGAGCGAGAGAGAGAGCGCGCGCUCAGCUGGCUUCAGAUCCCCUUAGUCGGGGAGAAGUUGGGGAGGCCCAAAGUCUGGCCCUCCCCGGGGCUGCCCUUGGCUGCGCGUCCCCCGCGCUGCAGCCGCGCGAUGGCCCGGGCUGGGGUGGACACGGGGCUGGGAGAGGAAGGGGCUCACGGACGGGCGCCCCAUCUCCCAGGCGGGCUCCUCGGCUGCUUUCUUUGGGAACAGCUGGUGCACGUCCCCGCGCGCCCCUCUCCCUCCGGAAUUCGGCGAGGAUUCAGCUGGACCCUUUGGCCACCACCUCCGCCCCGGGCGCGGGUCAAAGAGCACCCCUCGCCCUUGGUAACGGAGACAAAACGUUCGGGGCCGUCUAGACAGGUCAAGGUGCAGGAUGCGGCGUCCCCGCGGCUCCUUCCGGAAGGGGGCGUGGAGCCGCCAAGGGCGCCGGACCGCGCCGCAGCCCGGGCCUUUGCGGGCUUUUUCCCUCUCCACCCUCUGCUGAUCAAAGUAGGAAGUUUGCAUGACAACCGCAGUGAAAGGGGCUGAAUCACAAAUGAACUCGAUUUCUGCAGUGUUGAUCUAUCCAGCCUCCAUUGUCCCCUUUCAGGCGCAGUAUGAACCCUUCCGGUGCCAGCGGCCGCGCUACAUUCACAGGCGCGCUCGGGGCGCACAAAGGGUCUCCGCGCUUCACCGCCAUCUGGCCACAAAUCUCAUCAGCGGCGCGGCGGCGUCCCCUUGAAAGCGCGGGCGGAGGGUGCGCCUGUGUUCUUGAGACCCAGGUUCCAUUACAAACCACCCAGCAUCGCCACCGGCGCCCCCCGUUUCAAUAAGGAAGCCACUUUGUCAAAACAUUCUAAAAGAAACUUGGGAAGAGGACACGUCAGAGAAAUACCAACGCCGAUUAACUAUCAGCUGCGCCUCCCCUGUGCACAGUUUUCUGCCCAACAAAGAUCUGCAUGUUUC